This is a non-coding RNA of Acanthosepion pharaonis, 88 nucleotides long. The record is from the annotation of a GenBank genome assembly. NCBI's taxonomy places the organism in Eukaryota, Metazoa, Mollusca, Cephalopoda, Sepiida, Sepiidae.
GCUGCCCGUACAAUCAUCGAAGUUAAGCAAUAUCGAGCCUGAUCAGUACCUAGAGGAGUGACCGCUUGGGAAUACCAGGUGCUGUAAG